This 87-nucleotide transfer RNA is filed under the name Hassallia byssoidea VB512170. Its description in RNAcentral is "tRNA-Ser". It matches the Rfam family "tRNA". Rfam says of the family: Transfer RNA (tRNA) molecules are approximately 80 nucleotides in length. Their secondary structure includes four short double-helical elements and three loops (D, anti-codon, and T loops). Lineage: Bacteria; Bacillati; Cyanobacteriota; Cyanophyceae; Nostocales; Tolypothrichaceae. The record is from RNAcentral.
GGAGAAGUGGCUGAGUGGCUGAAAGCACUCCUCUGCUAAGGGAGAGCGGUUUAACGACCGUCGCAGGUUCAAAUCCUGUCUUCUCCG